UACGUAGGGUGCGAGCGUUGUCCGGAAUUACUGGGCGUAAAGAGCUUGUAGGCGGUCUGUCACGUCUUCUGUGAAAACUUGGGGCUCAACCUUAAGCUUGCAGGGGAUACGGGCAGACUAGAGUACUUCAGGGGAGACUGGAAUUCCUGGUGUAGCGGUGAAAUGCGCAGAUAUCAGGAGGAACACCGGUGGCGAAGGCGGGUCUAUGGGAAGUAACUGACGCUGAGAAGCGAAAGCGUGGGUAGCAAACAGG
This 253-nucleotide ribosomal RNA is filed under the name uncultured bacterium. Its description in RNAcentral is "partial 16S ribosomal RNA". It matches the Rfam family "Bacterial small subunit ribosomal RNA", at positions 524 to 776 of the family's 1533-position model. The record is from RNAcentral.